This is a transfer RNA of Vanderwaltozyma polyspora DSM 70294, 112 nucleotides long. It matches the Rfam family "tRNA". From Rfam's summary of the family: Transfer RNA (tRNA) molecules are approximately 80 nucleotides in length. Their secondary structure includes four short double-helical elements and three loops (D, anti-codon, and T loops). Lineage: Eukaryota; Fungi; Ascomycota; Saccharomycetes; Saccharomycetales; Saccharomycetaceae. The record is from Rfam.
GGGCGUGUGGUCUAGUGGUAUGAUUCUCGCUUUGGGCGAAUUCCGAGUUACACUUGGGAUACAAAUCAUUCAAAUAUGCGAGAGGCCCUGGGUUCAAUUCCCAGCUCGCCCC